This 405-nucleotide ribosomal RNA is filed under the name uncultured bacterium. RNAcentral's name for it is "bacterial SSU rRNA". It matches the Rfam family "Bacterial small subunit ribosomal RNA", at positions 355 to 776 of the family's 1533-position model. The record is from RNAcentral.
UGGGGAAUAUUGGGCAAUGGAGGGAACUCUGACCCAGCAACGCCGCGUGAAGGAAGAAGGUUUUCGGAUUGUAAACUUCUGUCGCGAGGGACGAAGAAUGACGGUACCUCGUAAGAAAGCCCCGGCUAACUACGUGCCAGCAGCCGCGGUAAUACGUAGGGGGCGAGCGUUGUCCGGAAUGACUGGGCGUAAAGGGAGUGUAGGCGGCUUUAUAAGUUAGAUGUGAAACCCCACGGCUUAACCGUGGAACUGCAUCUAAAACUGUAGAGCUGGAGUGCAGGAGAGGUAAGUGGAAUUCCUAGUGUAGCGGUGGAAUGCGUAGAUAUUAGGAGGAACACCAGAGGCGAAGGCGACUUACUGGACUGUAACUGACGCUGAGGCUCGAAAGCGUGGGGAGCAAACAGG